This 474-nucleotide ribosomal RNA is filed under the name uncultured bacterium. Its description in RNAcentral is "bacterial SSU rRNA". It matches the Rfam family "Bacterial small subunit ribosomal RNA", at positions 328 to 793 of the family's 1533-position model. The record is from RNAcentral.
CUCUGUGACUCCUACGGGGAGGCAGCAGUGGGGAAUAUUGCACAAUGGGGGAAGCCCUGAUGCAGCCAUGCCGCGUGUGUGAAGAAGGCCUUCGGGUGUAAAGCACUUUCAGUAGGGAGGAAGGUAGUGUAGUUAACACCUGCACUAUUUGACGUUACCUACAGAAGAAGCACCGGCUAACUCCGUGCCAGCAGCCGCGGUAAUACGGAGGGUGCGAGCGUUAAUCGGAAUUACUGGGCGUAAAGCGCAUGCAGGCGGCCUGUUAAGUCAGAUGUGAAAGCCCGGGGCUUAACCUCGGAAUUGCAUUUGAAACUGGCAGGCUAGAGUCUUGUAGAGGGGGGUAGGAAUUUCAGGUGUAGCGGUGAAAUGCGUAGAGAUCUGAAGGAAUACCAGUGGCGAAGGCGGCCCCCUGGACAAAGACUGACGCUCAGAUGCGAAAGCGUGGGGAGCAAACAGGAUUAGACACCCUGGUAG